Molecule: long non-coding RNA, 251 nt
Filed under: Malus domestica (apple)
Lineage: Eukaryota; Viridiplantae; Streptophyta; Magnoliopsida; Rosales; Rosaceae
Description: long non-coding RNA (MDOM_LNC003341)
Source: RNAcentral
UCCAAAAUCUUCCUCUACCCAACCGGCCACAGUUUUCGGACAUCAUUAAAACUAGCCGUUGAUUUUUACCCAACAAAUUAACUCUGUAUUUUCACCACCCCCUAUCACUUUACCCAAACAAAAAAUGGAUAAAUAUAUAAACAAAAAAAUAAUAAUUAAACUAGUGAGAUAAUGGGGGCUGGGCCCCACGGCUAACCAUCUCCUGGUACUGAUUCAACGACUCCUGCCUCUGCAGCCUCAUUUCCUCGUUA